AACUUUCAACAACGGAUCUCUUGGUUCUGGCAUCGAUGAAGAACGCAGCAAAAUGCGAUAAGUAAUGUGAAUUGCAGAAUUCAGUGAAUCAUCGAAUCUUUGAACGCACAUUGCGCCCGCUGGUAUUACGGCGGGCAUGCAACUGUUUCGAGCGUCAU
This 158-nucleotide ribosomal RNA is filed under the name Fusarium avenaceum. RNAcentral's name for it is "5.8S ribosomal RNA". It matches the Rfam family "5.8S ribosomal RNA". Rfam says of the family: 5.8S ribosomal RNA (5.8S rRNA) is a component of the large subunit of the eukaryotic ribosome. The record is from RNAcentral. Lineage: Eukaryota; Fungi; Ascomycota; Sordariomycetes; Hypocreales; Nectriaceae.